This 113-nucleotide non-coding RNA is filed under the name Thermoactinomyces vulgaris. Its description in RNAcentral is "SAM-I sequence". It matches the Rfam family "SAM riboswitch aptamer (S box leader)". Rfam says of the family: The SAM riboswitch is found upstream of a number of genes which code for proteins involved in methionine or cysteine biosynthesis in Gram-positive bacteria. The SAM riboswitch acts at the level of transcription termination control. Lineage: Bacteria; Bacillati; Bacillota; Bacilli; Caryophanales; Thermoactinomycetaceae. The record is from RNAcentral. RNAcentral also lists the same sequence under 1 other name.
CUCUUAUCAAGAGCGGCGGAGGGACUGGCCCGAUGAAGCCCGGCAACCUCGGUGAGAUGGUAUCACCGGAAGGUGCCAAAUCCUGCAGAACAAAAAGUUCUGAGAGAUAAGAG